RNAcentral lists this ribosomal RNA (253 nucleotides) under uncultured bacterium. RNAcentral describes it as "partial 16S ribosomal RNA". It matches the Rfam family "Archaeal small subunit ribosomal RNA", at positions 474 to 727 of the family's 1478-position model. The record is from RNAcentral.
UACCAGCACCCCGAGUGGUCGGGACGAUUAUUGGGCCUAAAGCAUCCGUAGCCGGUCCUACAAGUCUUCCGUUAAAUCCAGCUGCUCAACAGAUGGGCUGCGGAAGAUACUAUAGGGCUAGGAGGCGGGAGAGGCAAGCGGUACUCAGUGGGUAGGGGUAAAAUCCUCUGAUCCAUUGAAGACCACCAGUGGCGAAGGCGGCUUGCCAGAACGCGCUCAACGGUGAGGGAUGAAAGCUGGGGGAGCAAACCGG